This is a long non-coding RNA of Chelonus insularis, 2399 nucleotides long. RefSeq lists it as uncharacterized. The record is from RefSeq and is a predicted model, not a curated record. NCBI's taxonomy places the organism in Eukaryota, Metazoa, Arthropoda, Insecta, Hymenoptera, Braconidae. The transcript is spliced from 4 exons.
GCAGUCCAGUGGACAAGCUGUAGCAAGACUUCCAGAAGUUCUUUCUCGAGAAACGCAGAAUGACAUUGGUACUUCGAAUACGUGUUUACUGAAAAAGUAAAUAAAUGUAAAAAAAAAUGAACCUAAGAGUCGUUAAAAAUCAGUAGCAGCAGCUUAAACCCACGAUCAAGACUUGAGUUAACGACACUGUCGUUAGGGAUCUCAUGAAUUAUUCAGUCAUUUCGGAUUAGAGAAGAGAAAGAGAAACGAGGGAUGUUUAAGAGAAGGGUCUAGUACUGUCAACGGUUCUACAUUGAGAAUCAACAAAUCAUCCGUCUACUGAGUUACUCAGUGAUAAUUAGAGUGUUCCAAGUCAACGGUACCAGUAUUUAUUUCUUGGGUUUUUUAAGAUGAAUGUCAACUAUUCUAUGCGGAUAUGACCUCGGAUUGUGGUAAAGCCAACUACGAUUCAACAUUUAGAGUUAUUCUCUCUUUGUGUUCGUCGUUGGAUUCUGCUGAAAGACAAGAGUGAGAAUCUACCUGCAAGUGAGAAGUUUCAUCUGACAUGUGGACUUGUAGACGUUUCCAUCGCUUCCGCAAACCGGUCCGUCUAGAGGCGCAAAGUCACAAGAUACUGGACAGUUUUCUCGAUGAGCUGAGAUGUUAUUGCACGGUCCAAGAUACUCAGCAGCCUUUCAACGAUCAUUAAUAACAGUUGGACAGGAUCUAAAGAAGAGGAAGAAGUUAUUUUAAUUGCUUUGAGAAUCGAAUGUGGAGUUGGUAAAAUUUUGAAUGAAAUCCAUUAAAAGAACGAGAGUAAUGUCAAUCAGAAAGAAAGUUUAGAAAAAUGUAAUUUUCUCGAUCGAACUCAUUAAACUUUAAAUCUAGAAAGUUUUUAAGUUUUCAAUUUUCUGUGUCAGAGCUCUGGUUAAAAAAAACAAUGACAAAGUAUUUUUUCUGAACUCAAUUACUAUCCAAAAAAAUAUUUGAAUAAGGAAAUUUUACAGUUGACCUUUAAAGCCAUAAAACAACUAAUCAUCAUUAUUUAAAUAAUACAAAAAAAUACCAAUUAUUUUUAGAAAAUAUUUACUUUCAUCAUUGCAAAUAGAACUUUUAACUGAAAAUGGCUUUAGAAGGACAUCAAUUUAAUGAGCUGUACUUUGGCAUAUUUGGAAUGAGAAAGCCAAUUAAGAAAAGUAAAUAAUUGGAUAUUUUUCGUGACAAUACGAGGUAAAUAAUAAAAUAAUAUUGUUGAUCCAAAUAAAAUAAUUCUAUCGAAAUUAUCAGAAUUAACGGUAUAUCUUUGUAUAUUGUGGAAUGAAUGAGUUUGGGUAUAAGUUGUGUGUGGAAUGUAUGUCAACUAGGGCGUUUGCAAGAGAGCAAUCGAAGAGAGCGAGUGGUAAGUCGACUUUAAGUCGAGCCGAAUCCCGUCCCAUAAAUCGUUGUGAUCGGUUAAGUGGUAAGUGGAGUACUGGGGCGAAAAACUACCUCCCAGACUGAGUAUGCCUUAAGUAUGGUCUUUUCUAUAACUUCCUCAGCAUACUAGCUUCAGAGAGCUCUGUUGAUCCGUUAGAUCGGAGAACGUUCAAUCGAGUUUCGCACACUGCGUUAUUUUUAUGUUCUAACAAGAUUCUUUGUGAGCUGUAAUAAUAUUUAGCUUUAUAGCUAAAUUACCCAUAUGGUUUAUGAUAUUUCAUGUAUUCAUUUUUUAUCUAAAGGCCAAAGGUAAUUGAGUCCUUGAUGAUUUGGCCGUUCAAAAAUUUGUAUUGAAGAGGUUUCUUGCGUUUCGCUUACCACUGUGCGUUGCUCUGAACGGUUUGAAUAUACAGUUAUUUAAAUUGACCACAUCGGGCUACGAAAACUCACACAUCUAGAUAUGAAUACGAGAUCUUUCGUGCGUGUAAUUUUGAAGCUAGGCAAUCGUGCAAUGAAUUUUCAGUGACCCUAUAAAUCGCCGGAUGAAUUCAAAACAACUUUUUACGGCGAAAAAAGUGCAUAAAAAAACGAUUUUCAUUAAAGCCCUCUUUAACCAUCAACCCACAAAAAAUGGAGAAAAAAAUAAAUUUACAUAUUCCCUGGUAAUACUAACAGAUAUUUAUAAAAUUCAAUUUUAUUUUUUAGAUAAGAAUUUAAUUUCAAUUUCAAAUAAUCGCUGAGAAUGGUCUUGAUGAUGUUUCGGUAAAUAUUGUUUUUAAUCAAUAUGUAAAAAGUUUCAUUACGAAUAUUUUCAAACUAGUAUGUAGAUACAUGGCUUUAUAAAACCAAGUAUAAUGGAAUAUCUAACGAGUUUAAAUUGCAAGAAAAAUGAUAUUGAAUAAUGCAAAUUCCCUUCUAAGGAUAAAAUAUGUAAUCCUAUAUCAAUUUCCAAUAAGAGAAUAUGUGAUUGAAUUAUUUACAUAGAAAUAUUGACUGAGUUUAAA